AGAUGUGAGGAUGAUCUGGCUGCGACGUCCGUCACCCAUUGAUCACCAGGAUUGAAUUGGCUGACCUGGCUGGCUAGGUGGGUGUCCCCCUCCUUCCUCACCGAUCCAUGUGCGUCCCUCCCGGAGCUGUGUGCUUGAUCGAAGCGGAUGACCUUCCCCCCAGAGGAGAGGACCGGUCUUCGGUCAAGGAUAUACAAAUAGCUGUGCUCCCCUGCGAGAACCUCCAAACGGGCUCUCAAAGUGCAUAGACAGAGAAUGGAAAAAGAGUUAUCCUAUCACCAGAAAUAGGAUAAUGUGGAUGGGGUGGGGAACAGCAACUGUCUACAACUAUUA
Myotis davidii is the source of this 333-nucleotide non-coding RNA. NCBI's taxonomy places the organism in Eukaryota, Metazoa, Chordata, Mammalia, Chiroptera, Vespertilionidae. The record is from Rfam.